AUCUUUUGAAAGCUUUUAUAGUUUCAAUAAAUACUAGAAAACCAUUUCUAGCUGUUUAGAGUUGUUGGAGAGGGAUUAAAUGGCAUUGAAUAUAUUUUUUGAGACUAAAAAAAUUAGCCAUUAUGAUUUGUUAGGGCCCAAGAGUUGACAAUAGUAUCACCCCCUAUCCCAGGAGUUGACACAGGGGCCGCUCCUAUAUAAAAACAGAAAGCUAGCUCAAUAUUUGGCCUUGUAGCACAAUAGGAGUUGACCCUAAGAUUGCCUACUAGCCUAAGGGUCGAUACAGGAGUCACCUCCUAUGGUGUGCCAUGCUAGCUUCCCCAAAAUCAAAGAGGAUGACCCAGAGGUCACCCUCUAAGUUUCAGGGAUCAGUUCUUGAUAUCUAAAAAGAGGAUUUUUUAUAUUUUUGAUCUUUGAAUAUCAUGAAAUUGCCUUCUAUGCUUUCAAAGUCAUCUUGGAAUGCUUUUGAGGCUCUCGAAGCCUAUCACCCUUGUCUUUAACUUAGAAAACUUGAAGCUUUGGCCUUGUCCAUACAUCUUUAAUCGCUCAAACUUCUUGGGCUUUCCUGAAAUGUACUUUUAAACUACUCUAAAAAUAUGUAAUCAUUAGUAUUUCUUUCAAAUAUUUUAUAAUUAUCAAAAUUAAUUCUUGGAUUAUAAUCUUUUAAUUUUUGAUGAUGACAAAAAUAUGAAGUAUAAGUAGAAUAAAGCAAGUAAAGCAUGGGAGUAAAAUAAUGCUAUUUAAAAGUAU
RNAcentral lists this long non-coding RNA (750 nucleotides) under Elaeis guineensis (African oil palm). Its description in RNAcentral is "long non-coding RNA (EGUI_LNC008234)". Lineage: Eukaryota; Viridiplantae; Streptophyta; Magnoliopsida; Arecales; Arecaceae. The record is from RNAcentral.